RNAcentral lists this ribosomal RNA (989 nucleotides) under Dorea longicatena. RNAcentral describes it as "partial 23S ribosomal RNA". It matches the Rfam family "Bacterial large subunit ribosomal RNA", at positions 1934 to 2925 of the family's 2925-position model. The record is from RNAcentral. Lineage: Bacteria; Bacillati; Bacillota; Clostridia; Lachnospirales; Lachnospiraceae.
CCGUAACUAUAACGGUCCUAAGGUAGCGAAAUUCCUUGUCGGGUAAGUUCCGACCCGCACGAAAGGCGUAAUGAUUUGGGCACUGUCUCAACAAUGCACCCGGUGAAAUUGAAAUACCAGUGAAGAUGCUGGUUACCUGCGCCAGGACGGAAAGACCCCAUGGAGCUUUACUCCAGCUUGAUACUGGGAUUCGGUAUUGCAUGUACAGGAUAGGUGGGAGGCUAGGAAGUGAUAACGCCAGUUGUCACGGAGCCGCUGUUGGGAUACCACCCUUGCAGUAUUGGAUUUCUAACCAGCGACCAUGAACUGGUCGGGGGACAAUGUCAGGUGGGGAGUUUGACUGGGGCGGUCGCCUCCGAAAGGGUAUCGGAGGCGCUCAAAGGUUCCCUCAGAAUGGACGGAAACCAUUCGAAGAGUGCAAAGGCAGAAGGGAGCUUGACUGCGACACCGACGGGUGGAGCAGGUACGAAAGUAGGACUUAGUGAUCCGGUGGUAUAAAGUGGGAUUGCCAUCGCUCAACGGAUAAAAGCUACCCUGGGGAUAACAGGCUUAUCACUCCCAAGAGUUCACAUCGACGGAGUGGUUUGGCACCUCGAUGUCGGCUCAUCGCAUCCUGGGGCUGAAGUAGGUCCCAAGGGUUGGGCUGUUCGCCCAUUAAAGCGGUACGCGAGCUGGGUUCAGAACGUCGUGAGACAGUUCGGUCCCUAUCCGGCGUGGGCGUAGGAUAUUUGAGAGGAGCUGUCCUUAGUACGAGAGGACCGGGAUGGACUGGCCGCUGGUGUAUCUGUUGCAUACCAAAUGCAUGGCAGAGUAGCCAAGCCGGGACGGGAUAAACGCUGAAGGCAUCUAAGCGUGAAGCCCCCCUCAAGAUGAGAUAUCCCUACGUAAGUAGUAAGACCCCUUGAAGACGACGAGGUAGAUAGGUCAGAGGUGGAAGUACAGUAAUGUAUGGAGCUGACUGAUACUAAUCGGUCGAGGGCAUGACCAAG